GUUGUAUUUUGUUUUUCCCUCCCAGGCUAGUCCAAUCAUCUCUAGCAAGUCUCAGAAGAAACAGAGAAUUUGCUCAUUUUCUGCAAUAAAGUCUUAUUUGGGCCUUUGUUUGGGACAUGCAUUUUUACUUGUCGGUUUAUGACUGUGUGAGGCACCGUGAUGACAGGAGCCACUGAAGAAAGGUAUAGCAGUUCUAUGAGGAAAGAACCGAGAAAGAAGAAAGGAGAUCCUUCAUAUUUAGAUGGCCAUUUUGAACUAUGAAAACAAAUCUUUCUUCAAACCACCAGUGUCUUAUAAUCAGAAAGGCUACACAGUGCUCAACAAUGAAACCACACAAAGAAGAAUCGUUGAGAUUGAAGCAGCAGAGCCACAAUAAACAAGUUGCUGGAGAAAUUAGCCUUUGGUUCUAACAUCUGUUCUAUUACCCAGGAGAUACUAAGCCUUGAAUAUCACAAUAUAAGAAAAAAGUAUAAUUGAUUGUACUGAAUCAAUAGCUCGUAUGAAGAGACAGCUUUCAGUAACAAUAAAAGAUCAUCUCCAGAUCUUCUCUUUUUCUUAAGAAAAAGCAUAUACAUAUGCUUCAAUCCACAGUGGUGUGUGCCCUGAUAAACACACUGCAAAUUAGAAAUAGCGCAAGUUGAAAUGGGAUUUAAUAUAACCUUACCAAAGAUGAAGUCUUAAUUUGAACUAUCUUCAAUGUGCCCAGAACACUAAUGUUAACCUACAGUACGACAAAAUUACCUAACACAAAGGCCAUUUUACAAUAAAAUAUUGAA
Molecule: long non-coding RNA, 776 nt
Organism: Peromyscus eremicus (cactus mouse)
Lineage: Eukaryota; Metazoa; Chordata; Mammalia; Rodentia; Cricetidae
Exons: 4
Source: RefSeq, a predicted model, not a curated record